CAAAGAGGUCAAACAAACUUUUUUCAAGUUGUCAUUAUGGGGUAUCGUUUGUAGAGUUUUGAGGAAAAUAAUGAAUUUAAUCCAUUUUGGAAUAAGCCUGUAACAUAACAAAAUGUGGAAAAAGUGAAGCACUGUGAAUACUUUCCAGAUGCACCGCUGCUUGUAGAAAUGUCUAGUUCUAACCCCAACACCACUGGAGGUCCUACGACCCCGUCUGCAUCUGGGACAUCAGCUGCUUCAGACAAGCUUCUGAUAGUUCGUUCGGUCGAUCUCCUGAAAUCCAAGGAUGGGCAGAACCGGCUCGAGCAUCACACAGAUGCUUUCUUCAGCGACAAGCUGAUCGUCCGCAGAGGACAGACCUUCCAGAUGUGGGUCGAGUUCUCCAGACCCUUCAAUCCGAAAUCAGACAAACUGCAGCUGCUGCUUA
Sinocyclocheilus grahami is the source of this 427-nucleotide long non-coding RNA. RefSeq lists it as uncharacterized. The record is from RefSeq and is a predicted model, not a curated record. Lineage: Eukaryota; Metazoa; Chordata; Actinopteri; Cypriniformes; Cyprinidae. The transcript has 3 exons.